UACGGAGGGUGCAAGCGUUAAUCGGAAUUACUGGGCGUAAAGCGCACGCAGGCGGUCGAUUAAGCAAGAUGUGAAAUCCCCGGGCUGAACUUGGGAAAUGCAUCUGAAACUGGGUGGCUAGAGUGUUGUAGAGGGGGGUAGAAUUCCAUGUGUAGCGGUGAAAUGCGUAGAGAUGUGGAGGAAUACCGAUGGCGAAGGCGGCCCCCUGGGAUAAGACUGACGUUCAUGUGCGAAAGCGUGGGGAGCAAACAGG
RNAcentral lists this ribosomal RNA (253 nucleotides) under uncultured bacterium. RNAcentral's name for it is "partial 16S ribosomal RNA". It matches the Rfam family "Bacterial small subunit ribosomal RNA", at positions 524 to 776 of the family's 1533-position model. The record is from RNAcentral.